RNAcentral lists this ribosomal RNA (274 nucleotides) under uncultured bacterium. RNAcentral's name for it is "partial 16S ribosomal RNA". It matches the Rfam family "Bacterial small subunit ribosomal RNA", at positions 523 to 796 of the family's 1533-position model. The record is from RNAcentral.
AUACGUAGGUCCCGAACGUUGCGCGAAAUUACUGGGCGUAAAGGGUCCGUAGGCGGUCUGGUAAGUGGAAGGUGAAAGCCUGGGGCUCAACUCCAGAAUUGCCUUCCAAACUGCCGGACUUGAGGCAGCGAGAGGUCGGCGGAAUUCCCGGUGUAGUGGUGAAAUGCGUAGAUAUCGGGAGGAACACCGGUGGCGAAGGCGGCCGACUGGAACUGUCCUGACGCUGAGGGACGAAAGCCAGGGGAGCGAACCGAAUUAGAAACCCUAGUAGUCC